GGGGCCAACAUUAAACAUAAAGAGCUGGUGGCUCUACUGGUUACAUUGUUCUGAAUUUGAAAUUGGACCCGGUUUCAAAUAACCCCCGCUCUAUUUUAAUAUUUUCGCUGUUUUCUAUAAACAAAAAGGCCAAAAAUCCAGUAUUUUCAGGCCAGGGUCUUCGCUUCAAGCUUCGUCUUCGGUGGCUCACGACCUCUCUAUCUCCUCGUCGUGCUCUCGGAUCCAAGCCAUGGUUGUUCUCGUGCUCAGCUCCUCCCUCGUGUCUCAAAGAUCCACUGGUCGUCGUCGCUUGAAACCUCCGCUUGCCACCACGAACUCCGCCGCGGAUCAUCAUAUUCAGGCAAGCUCAGAUCCUCCGUCGUGCUCGUCGUCGCUUUAAGCAUCGCCGUCGUGGAUCGAAGUGGAGCUCCAUCGAAGAACAACAAUGGUGACUUUUAGAUAAUUUUCACAUUGAGUCGCUUAACUGUUGAAUACUCUCAUUUUGGUCCCAAAGUCUUCGAUAUGCAAACCAGGACCUCUCGAAUUGACCCUGAAUCUUUCAAUGGUGCGUGCAAUUGAGCCCUCCGUGUAAUUGCAGGAUUGGUCCCUCAGUUUUUUAUUCUUUUUUCUAGCCCAAAAGUCAU
This 623-nucleotide long non-coding RNA is filed under the name Brassica rapa (field mustard). RNAcentral describes it as "long non-coding RNA (BRAP_LNC000580)". Lineage: Eukaryota; Viridiplantae; Streptophyta; Magnoliopsida; Brassicales; Brassicaceae. The record is from RNAcentral.